Molecule: ribosomal RNA, 387 nt
Filed under: Erebia epipsodea (common alpine)
Lineage: Eukaryota; Metazoa; Arthropoda; Insecta; Lepidoptera; Nymphalidae
Description: partial 16S ribosomal RNA
Source: RNAcentral
GUCUUUUUGAAAUAUAAUUUAAAGUCUAAUCUGCCCACUGAUUAAUAUUAAAGGGCUGCAGUAUUAUGACUGUACAAAGGUAGCAUAAUCAUUAGUUUUUUAAUUGAAAACUUGUAUGAAAGAUUUGAUGAAAUAUUAACUGUCUCUUAUUUUUUAUUAGAACUUUAUUUUUUAGUAAAAAAGCUAAAAUGAUUUUAAAAGACGAGAAGACCCUAUAGAGUUUUAUAUUUAAUUUUAUUUUAAAUUUAUAUAAAAAUUAAUAUUAAAAUAAAAUUAAUUAUUGUAUUGGGGUGAUAGAAAAAUUAAAAUAACUUUUUUUAAAUAGUAAACAUAAAUAAAUGAUUAAAUGAUCCAUUAUUAAUGAUUAUAAGAAAAAAUUACCUUAGG